GAUGAACGCUGGCGGCGUGCUUAACACAUGCAAGUCGAACGAUAAAUCUAUACGGAAACCUUCUUGCGGAAGCCUUCUUUUCGACUGGCGGACUGUUCAUUAACGCGUGGUUAACCUUCCUCAUACACGUGGAUAACAUUUGGAAACUACUGUUAAUACCGCAUAAGACCACACCAUCGCAUUAUGCGGGUUUAAAAACUCCGUUGGUAUGAGAUGGACCCGCAUUCGAUUAGCCAGUUGGCGGGGUAACGGCCCACCAAAGCGACGAUCGAUAGACGAUAUGAGAGGAUGACCGGCCACAUUGGGACUGAGACACGGCACAAAAUACUAGGGGAGGCAGCAGUGGGGAAUAUUGCACAAUGGGGGAAAUCAUGAUGAAGCGACGCCGGGUGAGUGAAGAAGUAGUUAGGUAAGAAAAGCACUAUAAGAAGGGAAGAAAAUGACGGUACCUGAGGAAGAAGCACCGGCUAACUACGUG
RNAcentral lists this ribosomal RNA (478 nucleotides) under uncultured bacterium. RNAcentral describes it as "partial 16S ribosomal RNA". It matches the Rfam family "Bacterial small subunit ribosomal RNA", at positions 28 to 507 of the family's 1533-position model. The record is from RNAcentral.